RNAcentral lists this ribosomal RNA (2902 nucleotides) under Escherichia coli. RNAcentral's name for it is "23S ribosomal RNA". It matches the Rfam family "Bacterial large subunit ribosomal RNA". The record is from RNAcentral. Lineage: Bacteria; Pseudomonadati; Pseudomonadota; Gammaproteobacteria; Enterobacterales; Enterobacteriaceae. RNAcentral also lists the same sequence under 1 other name.
GGUUAAGCGACUAAGCGUACACGGUGGAUGCCCUGGCAGUCAGAGGCGAUGAAGGACGUGCUAAUCUGCGAUAAGCGUCGGUAAGGUGAUAUGAACCGUUAUAACCGGCGAUUUCCGAAUGGGGAAACCCAGUGUGAUUCGUCACACUAUCAUUAACUGAAUCCAUAGGUUAAUGAGGCGAACCGGGGGAACUGAAACAUCUAAGUACCCCGAGGAAAAGAAAUCAACCGAGAUUCCCCCAGUAGCGGCGAGCGAACGGGGAGGAGCCCAGAGCCUGAAUCAGUGUGUGUGUUAGUGGAAGCGUCUGGAAAGGCGCGCGAUACAGGGUGACAGCCCCGUACACAAAAAUGCACAUACUGUGAGCUCGAUGAGUAGGGCGGGACACGUGGUAUCCUGUCUGAAUAUGGGGGGACCAUCCUCCAAGGCUAAAUACUCCUGACUGACCGAUAGUGAACCAGUACCGUGAGGGAAAGGCGAAAAGAACCCCGGCGAGGGGAGUGAAAAAGAACCUGAAACCGUGUACGUACAAGCAGUGGGAGCCUCUUUAUGGGGUGACUGCGUACCUUUUGUAUAAUGGGUCAGCGACUUAUAUUCUGUAGCAAGGUUAACCGAAUAGGGGAGCCGAAGGGAAACCGAGUCUUAACUGGGCGUUAAGUUGCAGGGUAUAGACCCGAAACCCGGUGAUCUAGCCAUGGGCAGGUUGAAGGUUGGGUAACACUAACUGGAGGACCGAACCGACUAAUGUUGAAAAAUUAGCGGAUGACUUGUGGCUGGGGGUGAAAGGCCAAUCAAACCGGGAGAUAGCUGGUUCUCCCCGAAAGCUAUUUAGGUAGCGCCUCGUGAAUUCAUCUCCGGGGGUAGAGCACUGUUUCGGCAAGGGGGUCAUCCCGACUUACCAACCCGAUGCAAACUGCGAAUACCGGAGAAUGUUAUCACGGGAGACACACGGCGGGUGCUAACGUCCGUCGUGAAGAGGGAAACAACCCAGACCGCCAGCUAAGGUCCCAAAGUCAUGGUUAAGUGGGAAACGAUGUGGGAAGGCCCAGACAGCCAGGAUGUUGGCUUAGAAGCAGCCAUCAUUUAAAGAAAGCGUAAUAGCUCACUGGUCGAGUCGGCCUGCGCGGAAGAUGUAACGGGGCUAAACCAUGCACCGAAGCUGCGGCAGCGACACUAUGUGUUGUUGGGUAGGGGAGCGUUCUGUAAGCCUGCGAAGGUGGCCUGUGAGGGUUGCUGGAGGUAUCAGAAGUGCGAAUGCUGACAUAAGUAACGAUAAAGCGGGUGAAAAGCCCGCUCGCCGGAAGACCAAGGGUUCCUGUCCAACGUUAAUCGGGGCAGGGUGAGUCGACCCCUAAGGCGAGGCCGAAAGGCGUAGUCGAUGGGAAACAGGUUAAUAUUCCUGUACUUGGUGUUACUGCGAAGGGGGGACGGAGAAGGCUAUGUUGGCCGGGCGACGGUUGUCCCGGUUUAAGCGUGUAGGCUGGUUUUCCAGGCAAAUCCGGAAAAUCAAGGCUGAGGCGUGAUGACGAGGCACUACGGUGCUGAAGCAACAAAUGCCCUGCUUCCAGGAAAAGCCUCUAAGCAUCAGGUAACAUCAAAUCGUACCCCAAACCGACACAGGUGGUCAGGUAGAGAAUACCAAGGCGCUUGAGAGAACUCGGGUGAAGGAACUAGGCAAAAUGGUGCCGUAACUUCGGGAGAAGGCACGCUGAUAUGUAGGUGAAGCGACUUGCUCGUGGAGCUGAAAUCAGUCGAAGAUACCAGCUGGCUGCAACUGUUUAUUAAAAACACAGCACUGUGCAAACACGAAAGUGGACGUAUACGGUGUGACGCCUGCCCGGUGCCGGAAGGUUAAUUGAUGGGGUUAGCGCAAGCGAAGCUCUUGAUCGAAGCCCCGGUAAACGGCGGCCGUAACUAUAACGGUCCUAAGGUAGCGAAAUUCCUUGUCGGGUAAGUUCCGACCUGCACGAAUGGCGUAAUGAUGGCCAGGCUGUCUCCACCCGAGACUCAGUGAAAUUGAACUCGCUGUGAAGAUGCAGUGUACCCGCGGCAAGACGGAAAGACCCCGUGAACCUUUACUAUAGCUUGACACUGAACAUUGAGCCUUGAUGUGUAGGAUAGGUGGGAGGCUUUGAAGUGUGGACGCCAGUCUGCAUGGAGCCGACCUUGAAAUACCACCCUUUAAUGUUUGAUGUUCUAACGUUGGCCCCUGAUCGGGGUUGCGGACAGUGUCUGGUGGGUAGUUUGACUGGGGCGGUCUCCUCCUAAAGAGUAACGGAGGAGCACGAAGGUUGGCUAAUCCUGGUCGGACAUCAGGAGGUUAGUGCAAUGGCAUAAGCCAGCUUGACUGCGAGCGUGACGGCGCGAGCAGGUGCGAAAGCAGGUCAUAGUGAUCCGGUGGUUCUGAAUGGAAGGGCCAUCGCUCAACGGAUAAAAGGUACUCCGGGGAUAACAGGCUGAUACCGCCCAAGAGUUCAUAUCGACGGCGGUGUUUGGCACCUCGAUGUCGGCUCAUCACAUCCUGGGGCUGAAGUAGGUCCCAAGGGUAUGGCUGUUCGCCAUUUAAAGUGGUACGCGAGCUGGGUUUAGAACGUCGUGAGACAGUUCGGUCCCUAUCUGCCGUGGGCGCUGGAGAACUGAGGGGGGCUGCUCCUAGUACGAGAGGACCGGAGUGGACGCAUCACUGGUGUUCGGGUUGUCAUGCCAAUGGCACUGCCCGGUAGCUAAAUGCGGAAGAGAUAAGUGCUGAAAGCAUCUAAGCACGAAACUUGCCCCGAGAUGAGUUCUCCCUGACUCCUUGAGAGUCCUGAAGGAACGUUGAAGACGACGACGUUGAUAGGCCGGGUGUGUAAGCGCAGCGAUGCGUUGAGCUAACCGGUACUAAUGAACCGUGAGGCUUAACCUU